Molecule: ribosomal RNA, 271 nt
Filed under: uncultured prokaryote
Description: partial 16S ribosomal RNA
Rfam family: Bacterial small subunit ribosomal RNA
Source: RNAcentral
UACGUAGGUGGCAAGCGUUGUCCGGAUUUACUGGGUGUAAAGGGCGUGUAGGCGGGUGUUCAAGUCGGAUGUGAAAAGGCAAGGCUCAACUUUGCUCGGUCAUCCGAAACUGGAUAUCUUGAGUGUCUGAGAGGAAAGCGGAAUUCCUGGUGGAGCGGUAAAAUGCGUAGAGAUCAGGAGGAACACCGGCGGCGAAGGCGGCUUUCUGGCAGACAACUGACGCUGAGGCGCGAAAGCGUGGGGAGCAAACAGGAUUAGAUACCCGGGUAGU